This 823-nucleotide ribosomal RNA is filed under the name Mycobacterium sp. TOB2-13_Pa. Its description in RNAcentral is "bacterial SSU rRNA". It matches the Rfam family "Bacterial small subunit ribosomal RNA", at positions 57 to 896 of the family's 1533-position model. Lineage: Bacteria; Bacillati; Actinomycetota; Actinomycetes; Mycobacteriales; Mycobacteriaceae. The record is from RNAcentral.
GCAAGUCGAACGGAAAGGCCCUUCGGGGUACUCGAGUGGCGAACGGGUGAGUAACACGUGGGUGAUCUGCCCUGCACUUUGGGAUAAGCCUGGGAAACUGGGUCUAAUACCGAAUAUGACUGCGCACUUCCUGGUGUGUGGUGGAAAGCUUUUGCGGUGUGGGAUGGGCCCGCGGCCUAUCAGCUUGUUGGUGGGGUAAUGGCCUACCAAGGCGACGACGGGUAGCCGGCCUGAGAGGGUGACCGGCCACACUGGGACUGAGAUACGGCCCAGACUCCUACGGGAGGCAGCAGUGGGGAAUAUUGCACAAUGGGCGCAAGCCUGAUGCAGCGACGCCGCGUGAGGGAUGACGGCCUUCGGGUUGUAAACCUCUUUCAAUAGGGACGAAGCGCAAGUGACGGUACCUAUAGAAGAAGGACCGGCCAACUACGUGCCAGCAGCCGCGGUAAUACGUAGGGUCCGAGCGUUGUCCGGAAUUACUGGGCGUAAAGAGCUCGUAGGUGGUUUGUCGCGUUGUUCGUGAAAACUCACAACUCAAUUGUGGGCGUGCGGGCGAUACGGGCAGACUAGAGUACUGCAGGGGAGACUGGAAUUCCUGGUGUAGCGGUGGAAUGCGCAGAUAUCAGGAGGAACACCGGUGGCGAAGGCGGGUCUCUGGGCAGUAACUGACGCUGAGGAGCGAAAGCGUGGGGAGCGAACAGGAUUAGAUACCCUGGUAGUCCACGCCGUAAACGGUGGGUACUAGGUGUGGGUUCCUUCCUUGGGAUCCGUGCCGUAGCUAACGCAUUAAGUACCCCGCCUGGGGAGUACGGCCGCAAGGCUA